GACGAACGCUGGCGGCGUGCUUAACACAUGCAAGUCGAACGGAAAGGCCCUGCUUGCAGGGUACUCGAGUGGCGAACGGGUGAGUAACACGUGGGUGAUCUGCCCUUCACUUCGGGAUAAGCCUGGGAAACUGGGUCUAAUACCGGAUAGGAGCCAUUUUUAGUGGGAUUGUUGGAAAGUUUUUUCGGUGUAGGAUGAGCUCUCGGCCUAUCAGCUUGUUGGUUGGGUAAUGGCCUACCAAGGCGGCGACGGGUAGCCGGCCUGGGAGGGUGGACGGCCAACAUGGGACUGAGGUAAGGCCCAGAACCCCAAGGGGGGGAGGCGGGGGGAAAAUUGGAAAAAGGGGGGAAGGCCGAUGGCAGGAAGGCGCGGGGGGGAAGAAGGGCUUCCGGUUGGAAACCCUCUUCGAUCGGGAAGAAGCUUUUUGUGACGGUACCUAGAUAAGAAGCACCGGCUAACUACGUG
This 465-nucleotide ribosomal RNA is filed under the name uncultured bacterium. RNAcentral describes it as "partial 16S ribosomal RNA". It matches the Rfam family "Bacterial small subunit ribosomal RNA", at positions 28 to 507 of the family's 1533-position model. The record is from RNAcentral.